RNAcentral lists this ribosomal RNA (910 nucleotides) under Alternaria leucanthemi. RNAcentral describes it as "LSU rRNA". It matches the Rfam family "Eukaryotic large subunit ribosomal RNA", at positions 38 to 966 of the family's 3401-position model. Lineage: Eukaryota; Fungi; Ascomycota; Dothideomycetes; Pleosporales; Pleosporaceae. The record is from RNAcentral.
GCAUAUCAAUAAGCGGAGGAAAAGAAACCAACAGGGAUUGCCCUAGUAACGGCGAGUGAAGCGGCAACAGCUCAAAUUUGAAAUCUGGCUCUUUUAGAGUCCGAGUUGUAAUUUGCAGAGGGCGCUUUGGCUUUGGCAGCGGUCCAAGUUCCUUGGAACAGGACGUCACAGAGGGUGAGAAUCCCGUACGUGGUCGCUGGCUAUUGCCGUGUAAAGCCCCUUCGACGAGUCGAGUUGUUUGGGAAUGCAGCUCUAAAUGGGAGGUACAUUUCUUCUAAAGCUAAAUAUUGGCCAGAGACCGAUAGCGCACAAGUAGAGUGAUCGAAAGAUGAAAAGCACUUUGGAAAGAGAGUCAAACAGCACGUGAAAUUGUUGAAAGGGAAGCGCUUGCAGCCAGACUUGCUUGCAGUUGCUCAUCCGGGCUUUUGCCCGGUGCACUCUUCUGUAGGCAGGCCAGCAUCAGUUUGGGCGGUAGGAUAAAGGUCUCUGUCACGUACCUCUCUUCGGGGAGGCCUUAUAGGGGAGACGACAUACUACCAGCCUGGACUGAGGUCCGCGCAUCUGCUAGGAUGCUGGCGUAAUGGCUGUAAGCGGCCCGUCUUGAAACACGGACCAAGGAGUCUAACAUCUAUGCGAGUGUUUGGGUGUCAAGCCCGAGCGCGUAAUAAACGUGAACGGAGGUGGGAACCCGCAAGGGUGCACCAUCGACCGAUCCUGAUGUCUUCGGAAGGAUUUGAGUAAGAGCAUGGCUGUUGGGACCCGAAAGAUGGUGAACUAUGCUUGAAUAGGGUGAAGCCAGAGGAAACUCUGGUGGAGGCUCGCAGCGGUUCUGACGUGCAAAUCGAUCGUCAAAUUUGGGCAUAGGGGCGAAAGACUAAUCGAACUAUCUAGUAGCUGGUUCCUGCCGAAG